GACGAACGCUGGCGGCGUGCUUAACACAUGCAAGUCGAACGGAAAGGCCCUGCUUUUGUGGGGUGCUCGAGUGGCGAACGGGUGAGUAACACGUGAGUAACCUGCCCUUGACUUUGGGAUAACUUCAGGAAACUGGGGCUAAUACCGGAUAGGAGCUCCUGCUGCAUGGUGGGGGUUGGUAAGUUUCGGCGGUUGGGGAUGGACUCGCGGCUUAUCAGCUUGUUGGUGGGGUAGUGGCUUACCAAGGCUUUGACGGGUAGCCGGCCUGAGAGGGUGACCGGCCACAUUGGGACUGAGAUACGGACCAGACUCCUACGGGAGGCAGCAGUGGGGAAUAUUGCACAAUGGGCGGAAGCCUGAUGCAGCAACGCCGCGUGCGGGAUGACGGCCUUCGGGUUGUAAACCGCUUUCGCCUGUGACGAAGCGUGAGUGACGGUAAUGGGUAAAGAAGCACCGGCUAACUACGUG
Molecule: ribosomal RNA, 468 nt
Filed under: uncultured bacterium
Lineage: Bacteria
Description: partial 16S ribosomal RNA
Rfam family: Bacterial small subunit ribosomal RNA
Source: RNAcentral